UGGGGAAUAUUGCACAAUGGAGGGAACUCUGAUGCAGCGACGCCGCGUGAGUGAUGAAGGAAUUCGUUUCGUAAAACUCUGUUCUAUGGGAAGAAAAGGACUGUACCAUAGGAGAAAGCUCCGGCUAAAUACGUGCCAGCAGCCGCGGUAAUACGUAUGGAGCGAGCGUUGUCCGGAAUUAUUGGGCGUAAAGGGUGCGCAGGCGGCUUUACAAGUUGGAUGUGAAAUAUUGUGGCUCAACCACAAACGUGCAUCCAAAACUGCAAAGCUUGAGUUAAGGAGAGGUAAGUGGAAUUCCUGGUGUAGCGGUGGAAUGCGUAGAUAUCAGGAGGAAUACCGGUGGCGAAGGCGACUUACGGGACUUAAACUGACGCUCAGGCACGAAAGCGUGGGGAGCAAACAGG
Molecule: ribosomal RNA, 404 nt
Filed under: Fusobacteriota bacterium
Lineage: Bacteria; Fusobacteriati; Fusobacteriota
Description: Fusobacteria bacterium partial 16S ribosomal RNA
Rfam family: Bacterial small subunit ribosomal RNA
Source: RNAcentral